CAGACAAACUCCGAAUGCCAAUUAAUUUAACUUGGGAGUCAGAACAUGGGUGAUAAGGUCCGUGUUCGAAAGGGAAACAGCCCAGACCACCAGCUAAGGUCCCAAAAUAUAUGUUAAGUGGAAAAGGAUGUGGCGUUGCCCAGACAACUAGGAUGUUGGCUUAGAAGCAGCCAUCAUUUAAAGAGUGCGUAAUAGCUCACUAGUCGAGUGACACUGCGCCGAAAAUGUACCGGGGCUAAACAUAUUACCGAAGCUGUGGAUUGUCCUUUGGACAAUGGUAGGAGAGCGUUCUAAGGGCGUUGAAGCAUGAUCGUAAGGACAUGUGGAGCGCUUAGAAGUGAGAAUGCCGGUGUGAGUAGCGAAAGACGGGUGAGAAUCCCGUCCACCGAUUGACUAAGGUUUCCAGAGGAAGGCUCGUCCGCUCUGGGUUAGUCGGGUCCUAAGCUGAGGCCGACAGGCGUAGGCGAUGGAUAACAGGUUGAUAUUCCUGUACCACCUAU
This 500-nucleotide ribosomal RNA is filed under the name Staphylococcus aureus. RNAcentral describes it as "partial 23S ribosomal RNA". It matches the Rfam family "Bacterial large subunit ribosomal RNA", at positions 946 to 1451 of the family's 2925-position model. Lineage: Bacteria; Bacillati; Bacillota; Bacilli; Caryophanales; Staphylococcaceae. The record is from RNAcentral.